Molecule: ribosomal RNA, 441 nt
Filed under: uncultured bacterium
Lineage: Bacteria
Description: partial 16S ribosomal RNA
Rfam family: Bacterial small subunit ribosomal RNA
Source: RNAcentral
CCUACGGGUGGCAGCAGUGGGGAAUAUUGCACAAUGGGGGAAACCCUGAUGCAGCGACGCCGCGUGAGUGAAGAAGUAUUUCGGUAUGUAAAGCUCUAUCAGCAGGGAAGAAGAAAGACGGUACCUGACUAAGAAGCCUCGGCUAACUACGUGCCAGCAGCCGCGGUAAUACGAAGGGGGCAAGCGUUAUCCGGAUUUACUGGGUGUAAAGGGAGCGUAGACGGCUGUGGAAGUCUGAAGUGAAAGUCAAGGGCUCAACCCUGGGACUGCUUUGGAAACUGUGGAGCUAGAGUGCUGGAGAGGUAAGUGGAAUUCCUGGUGUAGCGGUGAAAUGCGUAGAGAUUAGGCGGAACACCAGUGGCGAAGGCGGCUUACUGAGCAGUAACUGACGCUGAGGCUCGAAAGCGUGGGGAGCAAACAGGAUUAGAUACCCGUGUAGUC